AAAUUGAAGAGUUUGAUCAUGGCUCAGAUUGAACGCUGGCGGCAGGCCUAACACAUGCAAGUCGAACGGUAACAGGAAGCAGCUUGCUGCUUUGCUGACGAGUGGCGGACGGGUGAGUAAUGUCUGGGAAACUGCCUGAUGGAGGGGGAUAACUACUGGAAACGGUGGCUAAUACCGCAUAACGUCGCAAGACCAAAGAGGGGGACCUUAGGGCCUCUUGCCAUCAGAUGUGCCCAGAUGGGAUUAGCUGGUUGGUGAGGUAACGGCUCACCAAGGCGACGAUCCCUAGCUGGUCUGAGAGGAUG
RNAcentral lists this ribosomal RNA (305 nucleotides) under Salmonella enterica. Its description in RNAcentral is "partial 16S ribosomal RNA". It matches the Rfam family "Bacterial small subunit ribosomal RNA", at positions 1 to 302 of the family's 1533-position model. The record is from RNAcentral. Lineage: Bacteria; Pseudomonadati; Pseudomonadota; Gammaproteobacteria; Enterobacterales; Enterobacteriaceae.